Molecule: non-coding RNA, 612 nt
Organism: Thamnophis sirtalis
Lineage: Eukaryota; Metazoa; Chordata; Lepidosauria; Squamata; Natricidae
Source: the annotation of a RefSeq genome assembly
AUGAACUGGGUGAGACAGGCUCCUGGAAAAGGACUGGAUUGGGUAGCGUACAUAAGAUAUGAUGCCAGUACUAUUUACUACUCAGACAAAGUCAAGGGCCGCUUCACCAUCUCCCGGGACAAUGCCAAAAGCCAGCUCUAUCUGCAAAUGAACAGCCUCAAAACUGAGGACACAGGAGUCUAUUACUGUGCAAGAUACACAAUUGGAAAGUUCACUGACACAACUUUCAUUUUAGGUGCCAAAUCUCAGGUCCAAUUGGUGGAGUCUGGAGGGGAUGUGAGAAGACCUGGGGAGUCCCUCCGUCUCUCCUGCCAAGCCUCUGGAUACAGUUUUGAUGGCUACAGCAUGGUCUGGGUGAGACAGGCUCCUGGAAAAGGACUGGAUUGGGUAGCCUACAUAAGAUAUGAUGCCGGUGCUACUUCCUACUCAGACAAAGUCAAGGGCCGCUUCACCAUCUCCAGGGUCAAUGCCAAAAGGCAGCUAUAUCUGCAAAUGAACAGCCUCAAAACCGAAGACACAGGAGUCUAUUACUGUGCAAGAUACACAGUGAGAGGAAGUGAAUCUGAUGCUAAGCAAAAACCUUCUCCUCCUUUGAGCAGCUUUCCAAAAUAA